GGAAAGGGUCAGUGGCAAAGCAUCUGCUUUGCAUGCAGAAAGUCCCAGAUUCAAUCCCUGGCAUCUCCA
Podarcis lilfordi (Lilford's wall lizard) is the source of this 69-nucleotide non-coding RNA. Lineage: Eukaryota; Metazoa; Chordata; Lepidosauria; Squamata; Lacertidae. The record is from the annotation of a GenBank genome assembly.